GCGGAUGUGGCGGAAUUGGCAGACGCACUAGACUUAGGAUCUAGCGCCUUCGGCGUGGGGGUUCGAGUCCCUUCAUCCGCA
RNAcentral lists this transfer RNA (81 nucleotides) under Clostridia bacterium. RNAcentral describes it as "tRNA-Leu". It matches the Rfam family "tRNA". From Rfam's summary of the family: Transfer RNA (tRNA) molecules are approximately 80 nucleotides in length. Their secondary structure includes four short double-helical elements and three loops (D, anti-codon, and T loops). RNAcentral also lists the same sequence under 3 other names. Lineage: Bacteria; Bacillati; Bacillota; Clostridia. The record is from RNAcentral.